GUUACAUAAAAGAAGACUACAUCGAAGCAGGAAAGAAUACUUAUCCGUUUCUUAACUUCAGCGUUAGAAUACAGCAGAAAAAUAUGAGGACCUUUGUUAUUUUAGUGGCUGUAUUAGGCUGUUGUCUAGCUGACCCCUGUAACCAUAAUAACCAUGCUGAUUUAACUGAAGAACACGUCAUCAGCAUGGUGGUCGCUGAUGCAGAUCAUAAUGAUGAUGGGUUGAUCACAGAGAUUGACGUGGCUGAAUAUUUUAUCGUUAAUUUUGAUCAUAACAGGAACCAGAAAGUAGAAGAAGACGAAUUUGUUCGUCAGUGGCACAAUUCAUUCCAUGAUGCAGAAGCUUUUGCCCAGCACGUUUUCCAUCAUAUUGAUACUGAUGAUAAUGGUGUACUGGAUCUCCAUGAUGUCGACCCGCUCAUUAAACGGGCCGAUACUUCAGGUGAUGGAAACAUCCAGAUUGCAGAAUUCAAGGCUUACCUUAAAGCAAUAUAUAACGCCUGUUGAGAAAACAGCAUAUUGUGAUAACAUUUAUAUAUAGAAUUAUUUAGUUUAAUAAAAGUUAGAUAACGCUG
Molecule: long non-coding RNA, 574 nt
Organism: Patella vulgata (common limpet)
Lineage: Eukaryota; Metazoa; Mollusca; Gastropoda; Patellidae
Exons: 6
Source: RefSeq, a predicted model, not a curated record